RNAcentral lists this ribosomal RNA (99 nucleotides) under Trichoderma asperellum. RNAcentral's name for it is "partial 18S ribosomal RNA". Lineage: Eukaryota; Fungi; Ascomycota; Sordariomycetes; Hypocreales; Hypocreaceae. The record is from RNAcentral.
GGGGCGGACCCCGCCGAGGCAACAGUUUGUUAACGUUCACAUUGGUUUGGAGUUGUAAACUCGGUAAUUUCCGUAGGUGAACCUGCGGAGGGAUCGGCU